CAGGGAAUAGUUUAAUAAUAAGAUAUUAGUUUUGGGAAUUAAUGAUAGAUAAAUUUAUCUUUCUCUGA
This 68-nucleotide transfer RNA is filed under the name Lobopterella dimidiatipes. Its description in RNAcentral is "tRNA-Pro". It matches the Rfam family "tRNA". Rfam says of the family: Transfer RNA (tRNA) molecules are approximately 80 nucleotides in length. The record is from RNAcentral. Lineage: Eukaryota; Metazoa; Arthropoda; Insecta; Blattodea; Blattellidae.